AACCCCUUGCUAUGCGAGGGGUUCUAAAGAGCUUCUAGCUAUGGACAAGAAAAAAACCCCAGUCGUACAAUGAAUUCAGGUCUGGUCAACCGACUUCGUACGAAAG
Molecule: small RNA, 106 nt
Filed under: Lysinibacillus sphaericus
Lineage: Bacteria; Bacillati; Bacillota; Bacilli; Caryophanales; Bacillaceae
Description: Hfq binding sRNA
Source: RNAcentral